CGCGGCCGCGGUGGCCGAGAAGCGCUCGAGGGUCAGCGGGUCCCUGGGCAGGUGAAGGUGCGGGGCGGCCUCAUGCAGGCUGAGUCUUUUGCAGAUGACGCGGAGACAGAAAGGUCAAGUAACUCUCCUGAAGUCACACAGCUGUAUCAAAUGCAGGAUGUCUCACACCAGGACCGCGCCAGGGCCAUGGUGUGGGGCAAGACCUUCCUGUCACCCCACACCUCCCAGCAGGAAGGUGGUGUGGAUCCGAGGCAGGGUGAGGGUGGGGGAUAGCGGGUUGGCAGGGUGCACGGCCUCCCACUAGGAGGAGCAAGGCUAGUGAAGCAGGACCGGCCACACCACGUCCACCUUGGUGCCUUCUGACAGGUCAGUCUGGGCCCCAGUCCCUGGUUCCUGGUGAGCUUCCUGUCACCCCACACCUCUCUGCGUGCCCAGAUCGGCAUUGCAUCUGGAGCGUUCCGAAGAGAAACACAACCUGGGGGCGUUGGUAACAGCAGGUGAGACAGCCUUGUCCUGGCCUGCUGUGCCGUGUUGCAUCCACUAGAAAGGGGCCUCCUGUUCUGACCCCGGCCCCUGCCCUUGAGAUGCAGCUGGCAUGUCCCUGUGGGCAUCUCCCAGAGCAGGUCCAGGGGUGAGUGGGCCACAGGCCUGUUUGCACAGGUGCCUUCUUCGAGGGAGGGAACAGCCCACCACCACCUCCUGCCAGACCAGCUUCCUUGAGCAUAAACCUGACCCUGGGUGACCACGCUGGGCUCCUUCACCUUAUCUCACCAGAGGCUUCUGCUGGUCCCACAGUCAACCUGCGGAGUGAGGUCUGGGCCAGGAGUGCUCUGCUCAGACAAGGAACAUGCCCAGAAGCCUCCCCCGCUAUCCUGGCCUUGUUCUGUGGGGGCUCGUUGGUCUGUUGGGGUCUGGGGGGCCAGGUGGGAGUGUGGGUGACCCUUCCUUAUGUGGCCACCCUUGGCCCUAUCAGCCUGUAUGCAUCCAGGACACCAGCACAUCCCUGACCCCAGCUGUGGCUGCCAGUGAGUUCCUGUGCCUUCCUCUCCUGAAGUCUGUGUCUUCUCCCAGGUCUGAUACCAUGUGGAAAGUCUGCUCCUGGGGCCAGCUGGAGGCCAUGUGGACUGGCCCUGAGUGCCCACUGUCUGGCUGCAGCCGUGACCCUACUGCCCGUGUGUGGGCUACUAGGUUCACCUGCACCUGACCCUCCUUCUAGGUUCUCCUGCACCUGACUCCCUGAUGCUCACACAGUGAUUUGGGGAGGGAGGCUGGGGAGGCGCAGGUCUGCAUGGCAGUGCCUCUCAGGGUCUGAGGCCCUUGGGCCAGGCCUCUCCUCUGACCUGGGCCAGCAGAGGGGCCUCCUUUCCCUUCCAAGAGCCCUCCCCUGUUCACCAGCAUCUCAUCAUGCUCAGGCCCACAGUGUGGUUAAGGAGGGGCAUGGGGCUGGCCCUGGGUUUCUGGCUGGGUGUGGGGGCCUACCCGGGCCCAUGGUGUCUUCCAGAAAAGACCCAGACUGGGUCCAAAGCUGGAGGCACCCCUCUAUCUUCACUGUCCACUCCCUGAUGUUCUGGAGGUCCCUCCAGGGGCUGGGUGAGGAGGCCUUCCCCACCACCUCCUUGUCUUCCUGGGAAGCAGGCACCUGUUCGGAGGCCACUUUCCCACAGGAGCAGGCUCCUCACCCUCAGCAUCACCCUUUUCCGCGGGGUUGUGCCCCUUCCUUGGUCCUGUCCACUCACACACUCAUAUCCUGUGUCCACUCACACACACCCGUGUCCGUGUCCAUGUUCACACCUGUUCUGUGUCCACUCCCACAGACCUGUGUCCACUCCCACACCUGUAUCUCGUGUCCACUCGCUCACACCUGUACUGUCCGUGCCCACUCACACGUGUCCUGUAUCCACUCGCUCACACCCGUGUCUCAUGCCCGCUGGCUUACACCAGUCCCGUGUUCACUUGCGCACCUGUGUCCCAUGUCGUGUCUGCUCGCACAUCUGUGUGAUGUGUUCACUUGCUCACACCUGUCCCGUGUCCUCCACUCGCACACCUGUGUCCCAUGUCCACUCACACACCUGUCUUGGUCUGGGACACCUGGGCCCCACUCUCCCCUGCACUCCUCAGGCUGGCGGCAGAGGCCAGAGGAACAGAGUUUUGGCGCUGGAAUCAUCCUGAGCGAGGCAGGGACCUGGCGGUGUGGACUUCCCCGCCCCUCCUCCGGCCCACCGAGCCCCGCCUGCCUGGGCCUUGGUGCCUCUGUCGCUGCUCCGGGUCCCCCUGCUGGGGCCCCUCCGCCGCUGGGCUGAGGCUGGAGCCUGCCUCCCGCCACCAGAGGGAGGAGGUCAUAAAUAACCCUGGGGCUGCCAUGGAGCAGACGGUGACCCCAGACGUCCUGGGGGAGUGUGGGGGCGCCAGGGGCCGCUGCCCCAGCCCACGCCGCCUCCGCCAUCCGGGAGUGCCUGCCCAGGCUCCCCAGCAUUUCUCUUAGAGCCCUUCUCAUCCAUCCCCUCAUCAAUCAAUCAACCAUUUAUUAAGCCCAGAUGUGGUACAGCCCCAGCCGGAGAUGACCCAGAGGUGGGGUGGGGAGGAGAGAGAUGGGGAAGCUGAGUCCGGGGCCACAGGUGCAGCCAGGAGGUGCAGGUGAGCAGCGCUCAGGCCAGCGUGUCAGCCUCAGUCCUGAGCUUACUUCUGGUGAUGGAGGGAGAUAUACAGAAAAGAUCCUGCAGCCUGCAGGUGUGGCACAGCUGAUCUUGGGCCAAGGAUGCACAGCUGUGUGUGUGCCUGGCCACCGGCAAGGGCAAGCGGGCUCAGAAGCACAGGUGUGCCCACACCCUGCGUGCCUGUGUGUGGCGCAGCAGCUCCCGACGCGCGCAGGACACACACACAGCACAGACAGACCCUCCCAUGGCCACACGGACAAAAAUGGCUUCACUGUAGACGCCGGUGCAGACAGGAUGUGCACUGCUUUCCAAGGCCUGUGCGCAUCAGCACCGCACGGACCUAGUCACACGUGAUCCUCAGCCAAGGUGGCCUGUCCAGUCCUGGUGCUGUUGGAUGGAAAGGCUAACCCGGGAGGUCAGGGGUCGUGGUAUAUCAGCUGGGCUCCCUCAGACGCUCCUGCAGAAGUGGCCAGGACCUCAGGAACGCACCUGCUCCUGGUCAGACAGGAGGGGCUGCUGUGAUGCAACUUGCCCGUGCCUUUGGGUGCUGUGAGCUGGCUGCGCGCCAUGUCGUUUCGAGGAUGCAAGAAGGUGUUUCCAAGUCCAGUCUGUCCACCGACCUGAACCUUUACCAUUGAAAGAACAAAGGGGUGGGGCCCGAGGGACCCUUCCCUGCCAUCCCGUGGUGUGUAGUCAGGGAUGCUCCUGCAGACACACAGGUGGGCUCUGACUGCCAGAUCGCAGGGGCGGUGCCGUGGUCCUCACCUGCCAUGUCACUAGCGUGCUGACGUGGACACUGGCGAGAGCGAGAGUGCUCGGCCUGGCACAUCCCAGACAAUUCCUCUGUAAAUGGUGCAGCAGCCAGAGGCCCCAGCACCUUGAGGUUAAGCAAAGAGAAGGAAUAGAGUUCUCCAGAGCCCCAAGGAGCGGGAGGUUCUGUCCCAAUGGAUGGGCUCAGCCAAUUUCACCCUCUUCUCCCCCUGCCAACACUGCGGCCUGCAGCCUGGACCUGGCCCGGGUUGUGGAGGGGACCGGGGAUGCAGCUGCCACCUGCUGGGCGGACGUGGGCCUAGGUGGUCCUCAGCCCUCAUGACAGGAGCCCCCGAAGCACUGUUGCGGCACCCUCUCUGACAUUGGGUGGGAGACUCUGGGAGCCGAGUGCAGAGCCAGGGCCCAGCACGCAGGCCUUGGGCUCCAGUCCGUGUGCCCCACAUCUGGAAUGUGCCAGUAGGGCCCGGUGCGAGAGAAGAGCGGAUCCCUACAUGAGUGAGGGUGGAGGGAUGGUGCCUCUGCCACGGCCACGGUGCCGCCGUCCACGUCAGCUCACUCUCAGCACAGAUGCUGUGUGACGGCCUCGGGCCACGCCACUUGUUCUGAGGCCCCUAGCAGGUCGGGCUUGUGCUGGCUGCACAUUGACUGGCUGGUGAGCUUGGCGGGUCUGUGGGCACGGAGAGACCAGAACGUGCGAAACAGGCCCAAUGAGGGUGCCAGGCUGCGGCAACCCCCGAGCUUCAGAGGAGGGGGCACCAGCCGGGGGCCCUGCACAGACAGCCUCAGAGAGAGGAAAGCUCACGAUCUGGGAGAACUCCAGGCCUGGCCCAGCGAAGACGUCCUUAUCUUCAGCAGACAUUGCCCAGUGCAAGGGGAGGUCAGUCUCAGGAGACAGUCUCCUGGACAGUGGCGUGGCAUCUGUCCUAAGGCCUUGCCUGCAGCACAGGGUGCCACAGAGGUCCCCUGUGACAGAGCCUCAUGGCUGGGGCAGGCAGGGGUCGCACCUGCUCCUGCAUGAAGAGGCAGAUAAAGACCCACAGCGUGGUCUCUGGGGUCCCACAUCCCAGGUAGAGAAUGACCCAGGUCGCUGGUGUCUGUGCCAUCUCUGCUCCACUGACCACUCAUGGGGGUCCUGGAGAUCCUGACACCAGUGGCCGGGGAGCAGCAGCCCAGGCACAGGCCCCAGUGCACACGCAGAUCCCACCGUGUCUGCACAAGGCCUUGCCCCAACGAGGCCUGGGUGCCGUGUGAGGGCCGGGACGCUAACACAGCGGAGGGUACCCACGCGUGAGCUGCUCUGGGGUCCCUCCCUGUGUUUCUUCCGGUAAUGAAACUUGUACCCAAAUGGGAUAUGCAGGGUUGCACUGUGCAGUCGCUGUGUGUUUAAGGGUCUCAUCCCCAUGUGCGCCAGCAGGACCACAGCUGUGACCGGCUGCUCCAGAAGAAGUGGGUGGGUUGAGACCCCACCGGCAGCGUCACUGGGGGCAGCAGGCCCUCUGUCAGCACUGACUUCUGUAUCAUGUCAGGGAUUUUUAGGGUGGCAAGCUCAGGUGGACAGGCAGUUUUAUUCUGUUUCCCAUGUCAAGUCCAGCCCCAGACUGACUUUCUGAAGUCACAGACGGAGCCUCACCCCAUCCAAGGCGGUGUCCUGGACUCCCACUGUGCUCCCCAGAGGGCAGGGUGAGUGCAUGGCAUCCUUUUGGCGGGCGUGGGUGCCUCUGUGGACCUGGCGUGAGGCUUCUCUGUUUCUGAGUCUCCUAUGGACCAUCUGUCUUCUGUGUGGCUGCUGAGGAAUCACACUGGGGUGGCCGUGCAGGUGGCUGAAUGAGAACAGGACCCUCAUGCUGCACAGCCCUGCUUAACCCGGGGGUGGCCCCAGAAGCGGGUGGGCAAGGCUGGGCAGCAGGGAUUGGCUGAAAUCGUAUGCAGAGCCCAAGAGGCAGGGGAAAGGCGGCAAUUUCAGGGUCCCUUUGUUCGCCAGGUACCUGGGGCCCAGCCUGGGCGGCAGGAGGGACUCAGCCGCUCGCCCAGGCAGGAAGGGUUCCAAGCAGAGGCCCCUCCCUCAGGCACUCCCCAGCCCACACCUGCAGCACUGGGACCAAGACUAAUAAAACACCCGCCUCACGGAAGACAGCUUUAUCUUGUUGAUCGGAAGUCUGCCAGCCCAAUUUAUGAUGGAACAUAAGAUCUCUAAAUCUGAAUUUACGCUCUGUAGCAUAACGAGAGGUCAAUAAGAUUAAACGGGGGCUCAGGAGAGGACCAGCGUCAGGCUCACUGCGAGGUGCUGCACAGAAAACCCACAGCCAGAGCCCCUGGGCCCAGCCCAGGCAAGACCAGAAAAGGAGGGGGCAGGUGGGAGACCAGCCUGGGGCUCCCGGGAAGCCCACAGGAUGGAGGCGGGAGAGCCAGGAGGCCUGGGGCAACCCUGGGACGGUUCCUGGGUUCCUGGAUGGAGGAGAGCAGGGGGGUGAUGAGAGUUCCCUCAGGGCUGGGGAGCCUUCUCCUGGUCUCAGACCCACCCCCCUUCAGCUCCCAAGCCCUGGGUGCCCCUGGCUCUGAGGACAGUUGGGAAUCUUCCCUGAGACAGGUUCAAGGACAGAGCUGUGACCCUGGCCCAGGGCUGCUUUGGGUGCCCAUGAACUCGGCUUCUGGCUCAGAGCAGUUCCCUGCACCCGUUCCUGAGCCCUCUGUCCUCUGGAACCCAUGGGCAGGUUGAGGGACGGGUGCUCCGUCUGGGUGGGGGCCUGGGCACCCAGCCAGCACGAGGCUGGCUUGCUGAGCUUAGGGCAGACCCCGACUUCAGAAUUUAUACAAAUAAAUGCAAUGAAAAGUGCUGGCAGCCUGA
This is a long non-coding RNA of Pan troglodytes (chimpanzee), 6270 nucleotides long. RefSeq lists it as uncharacterized. The record is from RefSeq and is a predicted model, not a curated record. The transcript is spliced from 3 exons. Lineage: Eukaryota; Metazoa; Chordata; Mammalia; Primates; Hominidae.